Magallana angulata is the source of this 842-nucleotide long non-coding RNA. RefSeq lists it as uncharacterized. NCBI's taxonomy places the organism in Eukaryota, Metazoa, Mollusca, Bivalvia, Ostreida, Ostreidae. The record is from RefSeq and is a predicted model, not a curated record. The transcript is spliced from 4 exons.
CCUUUAGGAAGUUUUGGACCAUACUGUGUGUAUAACUGUUCUGGAAAUUGUUUGGGUGACGUUGCUUGUAACAGAACGACCGGAAAGUGUGACACUGGCUGCGACAUUGGAUACACUGGAAAUUUGUGUGACAAUGCUUGUGAAAUCGAAAAACUUGGUAAAGGUUGCAGCAAUCGAUGCAGUGGACACUGUGUAGAGAACUUUCCUUGCAAUUCAACAACUGGACACUGUGAUCGUGGAUGUGCUUCAGGAUAUGUAGAGCCUUUUUGCAAUAAAAGUUGUGACAUUGGAAAGUAUGGUAUAGGUUGCAGCCAUAAGUGCAGUGGACACUGCCUAAAUAACGUUCCCUGCAAUUCAACAAAUGGACACUGUGAUGGAGGGUGUGCUUCAGGAUAUGUAGAGCCUUUUUGCAACAAAGUUUAGUAAAUGACCGGAGAAUUAGUUAUGUUACGAGUUUUUGUAUAAAUUUCUAUCGACAAUGUUUUUCAUUUAAUAUGUCUUGUAAAAUCAAUACUGUUCAUAACCUUUCUAUUUUCGCUUUUUUCGGAGAAAGAUUAUGAAAAAACAGUAAAACUUGUAAAUCAAUUUAUUUACACUUUGUGUAUAUAUAUAUAGAUAUGACUUACAUAAUUAUGUAUGCAUAAAUAUAUCUGGUUGUAAAAUAUGAUUUAUUGUAUUUAAUCAUCAUUAUAUUCGUUUAAUUUAAUGUACAAUAUAUGCAUAUCUAUAAAACACUGAGAAACUACAUGUUUACAUAUACAGUAUAUUUGUAAAAUUUGUUAAAAUUAAUGUAUUACCAGUAUCUACUUUUUGAAUGUGUAUUCAUAAAAAUUAUUCACAAG